Molecule: long non-coding RNA, 1123 nt
Organism: Dicentrarchus labrax (European seabass)
Lineage: Eukaryota; Metazoa; Chordata; Actinopteri; Moronidae
Exons: 2
Source: RefSeq, a predicted model, not a curated record
AAAAACUAAUCCAUGCAUUUGUUACUUCAAGGCUGGAUUACUGCAACUCUUUUUUAUCAGGUUGCCCCAAUAAGUCCAUUAAAACGCUCCAAUUAAUUCAGAACGCUGCAGCACGAGUACUGACAGGAACUAGAAAAAGAGAUCACAUCUCUCCUGUACUAGCUUCUCUGCACUGGCUCCCUGUAAAAUUUAGACCCCACUAGAACACUACGUUCUCUGAAUGCUGGGCUACUUGUGGUUCCUAUAGUCUCUAAAAGUAGAACAGGAGCCAGAGCCUUCAGUUACCAAGCUCCUCUCCUGUGGAACCAGCUUCCAGUUGUGGUUCGGGAGGCAGACACCCUCACCACAUUCAAGAGUAGGCUUAAGACAUUCCUCUUUGAUAAAGCUUAUAGUUAGGGCUGGAUCAGGUGAGUCCUGAACCAUCCCUUAGUUAUGCUGCUAUAGGCCUAGACUAUCGGGGGAUUUCCCAUGGUGCACUGAGCUCCUCCCUUCCUCUCUCUUUCUGCACUCAUUCAUGUCCCAUUAAUGCAUGUUACUAACUUCACUUCUUCCCCGGAGUUCUUGUGCUUUCUCGUCUCGCAGGUUCUCAUGGAUCCUGGUGGAGCCUCCUGCCAUGGUCCUGCUUGACUGCCAUUGCUAAUAUCACUGAUAUUAGUGUUAUUAUUAUUAUAAGUAUUAUUAUAGCUACGGUUACUGUUGCUGCUGUUGUCACAGCUCAUUGUCCCCCGUCGUUGCUGUUGUCAUGUUCAUCAUCAUCAGUCACUACUACUAGUGUAGUUGUUGUUGUUGCUGUGCACCUGUCUGUUUGCCUCUCUCUCUGUCUCUCUCUCUCUCUCUCUCUCUCUCUCUCUCUCUCUCUCUCUCUCUCUCUCUCUCUCUCACCCCAACUGGUCGAGACAGACGACCACCCACCUAGAGCCGGAGGAUCUGUCCUAGGUUUCUGCCUUUUAACAGGCAGUUUUUCCUUGCCCUUGUCGCCAAGUGCUUGCUCAUGGUGGUACUGUUGGGUCUCUGUAAUUAAUGUUUUAAAGAGUUCGGUCUAGACCUGCUCUAUUUGAAAAGUGUCCUGAGAUAACUUCUGUUAUGAAUUGGCGCUAUACAAAUAAAAUUGAAUUGAAUUGAA